RNAcentral lists this transfer RNA (81 nucleotides) under Gomphillus americanus. Its description in RNAcentral is "tRNA-Glu". The record is from RNAcentral. Lineage: Eukaryota; Fungi; Ascomycota; Lecanoromycetes; Ostropales; Graphidaceae.
UCCUAUCUGGGGUAACGGUUAGCCUGUAUGCCUCUCAUACCAAGAUCGCAUAAGACCGGAGUUCGACUCUCCGGAUAGGAA